CUGGUUAAUUUCGAUAACGAACGAGACCUUAGCCUGCUAAAUAGGAUCGGGAACCUCGGUUCUCGCAUCACUUCUUAGAGGGACUUUGCGUGUCUAACGCAAGGAAGUUUGAGGCAAUAACAGGUCUGUGAUGCCCUUAGAUGUUCUGGGCUGCACGCGCGCUACACUGAUGCAUGCAACGAGCUUUUGACCUUGGCCGGAAGGUCUAGGUAAUCUUUUGAGUAUGCAUCGUGAUGGGGAUAGAUUAUUGCAAUUAUUAAUCUUCAACGAGGAAUGCCUAGUAGGCGCAAGUCAGCAGCUUGUGCCGAUUACGUCCCUGCCCUUUGUACACACCGCCCGUCGCUGCAACCGAUCGAAGGGUCCUGUGAACUCGAUGGACAGCCCAUCCCCUUCUUGGGGUUGGGCUGGAAGUUGCGUAAAUAGAGCCCUUUAAAGGAUGCAAAAGUCGUAACACGGUUUCCGUAGGUGAACCUGCGGAAGGAUCAUUC
RNAcentral lists this ribosomal RNA (488 nucleotides) under Eimeria alabamensis. RNAcentral describes it as "SSU rRNA". It matches the Rfam family "Eukaryotic small subunit ribosomal RNA", at positions 1315 to 1831 of the family's 1831-position model. Lineage: Eukaryota; Apicomplexa; Conoidasida; Eucoccidiorida; Eimeriidae. The record is from RNAcentral.